Molecule: ribosomal RNA, 441 nt
Filed under: uncultured bacterium
Lineage: Bacteria
Description: partial 16S ribosomal RNA
Rfam family: Bacterial small subunit ribosomal RNA
Source: RNAcentral
CCUACGGGAGGCAGCAGUGGGGAAUAUUGCACAAUGAGGGAAACCCUGAUGCAGCAACGCCGCGUGCGUGAAGAAGUAUUUCGGUAUGUAAAGCUCUAUCAGCAGGGAAGAAGAAAUACGGUACCUGACUAAGAAGCCCCGGCUAACCACGUUCCAGCAGCCGCGGUAAUACGUGGGGGGCAAGCGGUAUCCCGAUAUACUGGGGGAAAAGGGAGCCGAGAUGGCUGUGCAAGGCUGAAGUGAAAGCCCGUGGCGCAACCGCGGAACUGCUUUGGAAACUGGAUAGCUUGAGUACUGGAGAGGCAGGCGGAAUUCCUAGUGUAGCGGUGAAAGGCGUAGAUAUUAGGAGGAACACCAGUGGCGAAGGCGGCCGGAUGGACAGAAACUGACGUUGAGGGUCGAAAGCGUGGGGAGCAAACAGGAUUAGAUACCCCAGUAGUC